RNAcentral lists this unclassified non-coding RNA (290 nucleotides) under Hevea brasiliensis (rubber tree). Lineage: Eukaryota; Viridiplantae; Streptophyta; Magnoliopsida; Malpighiales; Euphorbiaceae. The record is from RNAcentral.
GGGAUGAAGACUUCUUAUUUUUAUGUCUCUUAAGAAAAUGCUCUUCUCCACAGUGUUUAGGGGUGCGCAAAGCAGUAAAAAGUGACGAAGUCCCACUUUAAGGGAAGCGCUCGCUUCAUUGAAGUGAAGCACAAUUUAAAAGAACACAGACCAAAAUAAACAGAGGAAAGUAUACAAGCAAAAUUUCAUAAACUAAAAGAAGGUUCCACUUCAGUUGUCUUGUCAUACAACAAACAUACAAUUGUUAUCCAAUUGGUCUUACUAACUUUUUUUCCUCAUUUUCAUGCCGG